AGUUUGACUGGGGCGGUCUCCUCCUAAAGAGUAACGGAGGAGCACGAAGGUUGGCUAAUCCUGGUCGGACAUCAGGAGGUUAGUGCAAUGGCAUAAGCCAGCUUGACUGCGAGCGUGACGGCGCGAGCAGGUGCGAAAGCAGGUCAUAGUGAUCCGGUGGUUCUGAAUGGAAGGGCCAUCGCUCAACGGAUAAAAGGUACUCCGGGGAUAACAGGCUGAUACCGCCCAAGAGUUCAUAUCGACGGCGGUGUUUGGCACCUCGAUGUCGGCUCAUCACAUCCUGGGGCUGAAGUAGGUCCCAAGGGUAUGGCUGUUCGCCAUUUAAAGUGGUACGCGAGCUGGGUUUAGAACGUCGUGAGACAGUUCGGUCCCUAUCUGCCGUGGGCGCUGGAGAACUGAGGGGGGCUGCUCCUAGUACGAGAGGACCGGAGUGGACGCAUCACUGGUGUUCGGGUUGUCAUGCCAAUGGCACUGCCCGGUAGCUAAAUGCGGAAGAGAUAAGUGCUGAAAGCAUCUAAGCACGAAACUUGCCCCGAGAUGAGUUCUCCCUGACCCUUUAAGGGUCCUGAAGGAACGUUGAAGACGACGACGUUGAUAGGCCGGGUGUGUAAGCGCAGCGAUGCGUUGAGCUAACCGGUACUAAUGAACCGUGAGGCUUAACCUUACAACGCCGAAGGUGUUU
RNAcentral lists this ribosomal RNA (682 nucleotides) under Escherichia coli. Its description in RNAcentral is "partial 23S ribosomal RNA". It matches the Rfam family "Bacterial large subunit ribosomal RNA", at positions 2267 to 2925 of the family's 2925-position model. The record is from RNAcentral. Lineage: Bacteria; Pseudomonadati; Pseudomonadota; Gammaproteobacteria; Enterobacterales; Enterobacteriaceae.